This 74-nucleotide transfer RNA is filed under the name Candidatus Tagabacteria bacterium RIFCSPLOWO2_01_FULL_39_11. RNAcentral describes it as "tRNA-Ala". It matches the Rfam family "tRNA". Rfam says of the family: Transfer RNA (tRNA) molecules are approximately 80 nucleotides in length. Their secondary structure includes four short double-helical elements and three loops (D, anti-codon, and T loops). The record is from RNAcentral. Lineage: Bacteria; Candidatus Tagaibacteriota.
GGGGAUAUAGCUCAGUUGGCUAGAGCGCGUGCAUGGCAUGCACGAGGCCGCCGGUUCGAAUCCGGCUAUCUCCA